This is a ribosomal RNA of Chelonoidis abingdonii (Abingdon island giant tortoise), 116 nucleotides long. The record is from Ensembl. Lineage: Eukaryota; Metazoa; Chordata; Testudines; Testudinidae.
UUUUGCAGCAGUACCAACUUAUGCAGUGAUCUCUUAAAAUCUUACAAGCUAAGAAGAGUCAGACCUGGCCAGUAUUUGAAUGGGAACCCCCCAGUGAAAACUUAGUUCUGCAAGAA